GGUGAGUAACACGUGAGCAACCUGCCCCUGACUCUGGGAUAAGCGCUGGAAACGGCGUCUAAUACUGGAUAUGUGACGUGACCGCAUGGUCUGCGUCUGGAAAGAAUUUCGGUUGGGGAUGGGCUCGCGGCCUAUCAGCUUGUUGGUGAGGUAAUGGCUCACCAAGGCGUCGACGGGUAGCCGGCCUGAGAGGGUGACCGGCCACACUGGGACUGAGACACGGCCCAGACUCCUACGGGAGGCAGCAGUGGGGAAUAUUGCACAAUGGGCGCAAGCCUGAUGCAGCAACGCCGCGUGAGGGAUGACGGCCUUCGGGUUGUAAACCUCUUUUAGCAGGGAAGAAGCGAAAGUGACGGUACCUGCAGAAAAAGCGCCGGCUAACUACGUGCCAGCAGCCGCGGUAAUACGUAGGGCGCAAGCGUUAUCCGGAAUUAUUGGGCGUAAAGAGCUCGUAGGCGGUUUGUCGCGUCUGCUGUGAAAUCCGGAGGCUCAACCUCCGGCCUGCAGUGGGUACGGGCAGACUAGAGUGCGGUAGGGGAGAUUGGAAUUCCUGGUGUAGCGGUGGAAUGCGCAGAUAUCAGGAGGAACACCGAUGGCGAAGGCAGAUCUCUGGGCCGUAACUGACGCUGAGGAGCGAAAGGGUGGGGAGCAAACAGGCUUAGAUACCCUGGUAGUCCACCCCGUAAACGUUGGGAACUAGUUGUGGGGUCCAUUCCACGGAUUCCGUGACG
This 731-nucleotide ribosomal RNA is filed under the name Microbacterium sp. Its description in RNAcentral is "bacterial SSU rRNA". It matches the Rfam family "Bacterial small subunit ribosomal RNA", at positions 105 to 848 of the family's 1533-position model. The record is from RNAcentral. Lineage: Bacteria; Bacillati; Actinomycetota; Actinomycetes; Micrococcales; Microbacteriaceae.